AAUCGUGCAACGUAUUUAUAGUGACGUAGCUGCAAGAUCAUCUUACAGCUACGUGACAACCUACAUCUUGUCAAGAUGUGGGUUGUCACACAUUUUUAAUUGGUUUUAACAAUAAAUGAAAUAAAAUUGGACAAACUUCAAUAUCUUAAACUUUAAGCUAAGAUGUGAUUCAACAUUGUAUUGAUAAUAGAAAAACAAUUUCUAAUUGAUAAUGUCCGACAUAUAUAAUUUUUUUGAGUUCAUAAUCUCUUUACAUAAAUUUUAAAAAUAUAUUUCCUUGGACUCCAGUUAAAUUAAGGAUGAAAUAAUAAUUAGAAAUGCAGAUUGUCUCACGUUUCGAAUACGGUGUAAGGGAUCCUUGCCAAUCUUGGGAACUGGGUGAUCAAUAGUUUAAUGAUUAAACUUACAAGCCAUCGUUGUGAGAAAGGAUAAACUGGAUUCCAUGUUCCAAAAAGUUAUUACUUGGAGGGAACCUCACAGUAAAAAAUUAAGUUACCUUGUGAAGAUAAUUUUUCACGAUUGUAGUGAAUUUAAUUUUUUAGGAAAUAUGUAUGUACAUAAUUUUAAGUAAUUCAUUAGAAUGUCGCUGAGCGGAAAAUGUAAGAAAUACGUAGGAUUUUCUGUGACAAAACAGAACACAUGAAAUUGGAUUUUCCACUUUUUUCAACCACAAUAGUUGUAAAGUAGUGAUUUCCAUGUCUCAGUUUACGUUUCGUUUGUGAUUUUUUCAAAAAAAGCAGAACUAUGCACACAAAGAUCACUUAGUAAAUAUGAAGGGUAUCCUAAAUUUCAAAUUAUAUUCGAAUUUCGUAAAAAGAUACCACUAAACUGGUCAAAAUGAAUUUAUCCGAUUCCCACAAUAAUUCUAGGAGGGAAUUAUAUACAAUGUGUAAACGCAUCUAGACAAAUAUGUAUUUUACGUCCCAAAUCUAGCUUUGGUUAGUUAGUACAAAUUUAGAAAAUUAGGCAGGGUAAGCACGGGGGCGCAGAAUCCUCCAUUGUCGCAUCAUGGGUAUGUAUACGGUUAAUUUAUCCAUGUUCAUAGGUCUCCCGUGACUCCUGGCUUAGAAUAAGUGUUGCCGAAUGUAAAUAGGUCACGCAUAUAUCACAAAUACAAAUCUGAGGCUGGCAAUUUGGUAUAAAAUAUUAGCCACUAUGACUUUUUCCAUGCAGUCGAUGCUAUUUGAAUUAAUGCGAUGAAUUUUUCUCUAUUCAUCACUUCGUUGUAUACUCAAGCAACAAAUGCAUUAGAAAAUUCGAAAUAAAACCCUCUACUAAUGGGACAUCAUUCAUUGUCGGUGGCGUCAAAGCGUCGCAUGCCGGCAAUCUCUAAGGUGAUGACAAUGAUUUUUAUAGCUUUGAAUAAUUAAAGCUUUGAAGGCUUUUAGUUUUAUGAACUUAAAACUUUUUAAAUUAAUAAAACUAAAGUAAGUAAUUUUGUUACGCAAAUGGGAUAAAUGUACAAACUGAUCACGGGCUGGACGACAGCUUAUAAUAUGUGACGCAUUAAUGCUUACAUAACCUUGUUCUCAAUACUCCGUUAAAUUUGCCGGUAUCUAAUUUACGGACCAAUUUCUUGCACUGUUCACACUUUACAUUAAAAAUAACGUGUUUAAAACAAACUUAACUUAAUUAUAAAAUUCAGGUUUGUUGGCCAAGUGAUCAAGCUUUACAAGGAAGUCCACAUGGCCAAUGAGUAUUGUGACUGGAAAAUGAAUAUGUUAGGAUUACAUUCAUGAAAGUAGCACUGCUUAAAAUUAUCGGAAAAAGGUGAUCUAUCCGGGUGGAAGGGUAUCCAUCACAAGUUCAUCUUGGCAAUAUUGAAAUUGAACACUAUAAGCAGUCAUUGCCGCCAUGUAUCCUCCAACACUAUGCCCCUAUAGGAUUGUGCUUGAAGGUGUCGCCAUCGACUCACGGCACAUCGUCCCAAUAAAAUUGUUUGAACAUUUAUUGCUACGUAAGGGAUGAAGCUGUUUGCGGCUACACGCAUGGGAUACCAAGUUGAAAAGGUCAGAACACGAGUAUGGUUUUCGUUUGAGAUUUAAAAAUAUCUGACGUAACUCGUCUGGCCGUGUUAUUAAGUUCUGGCCAUCUAAUAUUAUACCCCCAUAUUAUUCUAUAACUUUUAAAUACAUACCUAGCCCUUGAAAUCUAAGUUUUCUUGAUUUGUUAUACCGUCGAAAAGGUUAUCAAGAAAAAACCUUUUCGACGGUAUAACAAAUCUGUUAUUUUGAAAACCAAUUGAUGAUUAAUUUUUACAAUAAUAAAAAGUGCAUAAAUUCAGAACACAAACCAAAACUUUAGAGGCGAAAUACCUGUGAAUGAGUUAGGGAGUAACUCAGCCGGGUUUUUCGGUAAUAAUAUUCUUGUCAGGUGUCCUGGAAUAUUAAAAAUUUUCAAAACGGUCUGGCCAAUAUGCUUCUCAAUGUCAAUUGAGGUUAAACUGGCGGUGCAGUAUUUGAUGAAAAAAGUUCCACCAAAAUUAGGGGAUAGUUCAAUAUCCAUUGUUAAAGAAGCUAAAUUUAGAUUUAUAUUCCUCUUUUUACCUCUUUAUACCCUCACGGGUCCGAAGCGGUCUCGAUAGGGAUAGAAUAAAAUCACACUCAUAUUUUUUAUGAGUGUGAAGAAAUUAAUGAGAAUUAAUGAGAAUUGUCACGUCAGGUGAAAUAAGAUAUAUUUACGGUAUCCUUGAUGGAUAUUGUUGUCCGUUCCUCCAUGAUGUACACCUUAUAUGUAUAUCCGAGAUAUUUUUUGAAUAGUAGUGAAUAUUAUAUUUGAUGGGUAGUGACAGGAAAAAAUGUAAUUUUACUAUUACUCUAAUUCCCAAGACUAAUAAACUCAUCCUCAAAAAUUUGGGGUGCAAUUUGGAAAGUAUUUGGGGGUAUUUCUUUAAUCAAAUCUGCGAAAGUGGAGAAACUGGAAAGAAUCUAAGAAUUUUAUUUUGUUAUCAAAGAUUACACUUACAUAGUGCUCGGAAUUCGAGGGAAUAAUCUUGACAUCAAUUUCCCUUUCAAUCCCAUUCAGAAUAAAAUGAGAAUCAUAACGAGAAAACUUAUGAGCGAUAACUGGGAUUGCCUGCUUUUGUAUUUUAGUUGAAGAUUACAUAGAGAAUGACAAGCGCCAACAUACUUUGAAUCACAGUGACUAUGAUGACUACACUUUAAUAAAUCUUCCACUAAAGGAGUACUGAGUCUUGUAAUAUAUUCUCUGCUUUCCGACACAAAUGGCUCUUCACACAGCCAGCAGUGUGUUGAUGACUCAAAAUUUUUCCUAUCAUCUUUCUUAAAACACAUUGGUAAAUCAAUGUGAAUAAGAACAUCAAGAAUUUCAAAUAAUUCAUACGAAUGAUUUAUAAAAUUAGUGAUUGCGCCCUCUCCUCUAAAAUUUUUUUGAUGAAUGAUUUUUUUCUGAAAAUCCUGUAAAAGAACCCUAUAGCUAUGGGUUCAUGCACUUGAUAUAAUUCAGUACGUGGGGACAAAGGAUUUCCGAAACUGGAGCAGAUUUCGUAAAACACUACAGGUCUGCAUAUAUGACAAAAGGUAAUUUCAUUAAAGCAUAAUGGUUCCUAAAUGUUAAGCACUCUCCGUCCGCGAGUAGCUCAGCUUAACCACAAAAUUUACCCUUCCCACAUUUUACCUGAUGUGUUAAUCUUACAUCUUCAUCAUAAAAUCCUUUUAAACAUCAAAAACAAAAAAAAUAUUUUUGAACCCAUUUUUCCUAACCCUAACAGAUUGGAGAGAAGGAUAGGAGAGAAUAUUUGAUGGGUAGUGAAGGUAAAAAAAAGUAAUUUUACUAUUACCCUAAUUCCCUGUAAAUAGUACUAAGAAUUUCUGAAAAAAUAUACCCGUAAAGGUAUAAAUCUGGUAUAGUGGUAUUUCAUAAUGUAAAUUUAUAAAUAUAUAUAUUUAAUUUAGACUGACAAUUAAAAGUAGGUACCUUUAAAAAAGUGGUUAAAUUAGUACAACAGUAUAUAAUUCAUACUAUAUAGCACAUUUUACCAUAUUAUUAUUGCCUGUUAAAUUAUGAAGUUCCCAUUUCACAUCUUCCAGAUCUGUUUGGAUUUUCUCAAGUAGAGUGGUCAUAUUUAUGGUGUCAUUCUGUUCUGAAAGAAACUCACUGUAGGAUACCGCUUCUAUUUAGACAACAUGUCCUGAUCCAAAGUACUAUAUAAGGUGUUUCCUGCUACUAAUUAAAUAGUAUGUUGACUCCCAUUUUUCAAGUAUUAAUAUUUUGUAUUAUACUUAUUGGUAGUGCUCUCUUGAAGUACAGCUGUGGUCGAGGCAAUUUGCGCGAAGUUUUUUAGGUGACGCACUAGGUUAGGUUAUCCAUUUCAACGUUUAGGUUAACAAGCGUUUUAUUAAAUUGAAAAUCCAUCGUACGAAUGUUCUGAGUCAUAGCGAUGAAUGCAAUCAAUAUGACUAUGAAAUUUAUCUUGCUAAAAUUUAUGAAAUUACUAACUGGUAACCUUUAGAGGAAAAUACUGUUAGAAGUCGAGAAAAACCGACCACUAAAAUAACUAGUUUAUUUGAAAAUCGCAGUAAUUCAAUUGAAUUUAUAAUUCUAUUAGUAUAACAUGCAUCUCUUAAUCUUACGACUUCACCAUUGUUUUCUAAAUAUAAAUACGUGCAAUCAAAAUCCAUUUCGGCGUUACCAAAAGUUAUGGUUUCGUGUGAAGACAUUCAACCUUUGAAUGUAGGUUAAUUGAUUAAAAAUCCGGCGAGCAUGCUAGUUUCGAUAAAAAAGGCAGUAUUAAUUUCACAAAAUUUUAAAGUUGUUACAUUUUGGAAUUAACCUGGUAAAUCUAUAUAGGUCAUAUAAUUUGAAUUUCGCUUAAUUAAUUACUAAAGGUUUCUGAAAAUUUAUAAUGGAAGCGAUAAAACCUUGCAAGAGCUCAUGCAUGCUUCUAUUUCUGGUAUCGUGUGCAAUCUAGAUUUAUACAUAACUUUACUUGUACAUAGAUACGUAGAAUUCACUGCCGUCAAUAUUAUCAAAGGAUGAUUUUUAUAUGUUGAGCCAGAAGUGGUAACACUGGCCUACUAUGUAAGAUGCUAAUGAAGGAACAUAUAUUUUAGUAAGCGAGAGAAAAUGCGUAUGUGUUCUUUUGCCUUUUUGAUAUGAUAAGUCCUCUGACCAGAUAUUGUUUAAAAUUUGUUCACAACCUCUGGUAAAGUUAUUGAAUCAUAGUUUUUUUCUAGUCUAGUAAAUGUACGUAUGUUAGAGUAAGAUUACCCAGUAAUAAUAUUCAACCGUCAUUAUGGCUGAUUUAAUACGUAAUACUUCUGUAAAUAUGUGGAACAAUUGUAAAGUUCUAUUGCACUUUAAUUUAUUUAACCAAAUUUAAUACCAAGUUUUGCAUAGUCUUUAGAUAUAUAUAUAUAUAUAUAUAUAUUGUAAAAUUAUAUUAAGUAUCUAAUACUUUAUUUUAAUAUGUGCACAAUAUGUAUCAUUUAAGCGUUACUAUAAAUAAAAAACCUUCAGUGUGCAGUGUUGA
Molecule: long non-coding RNA, 5491 nt
Organism: Folsomia candida
Lineage: Eukaryota; Metazoa; Arthropoda; Collembola; Entomobryomorpha; Isotomidae
Exons: 3
Source: RefSeq, a predicted model, not a curated record